GUGCACAAAUCCACAACUAGUUGGACUCCGCCCACCGUCUAUGCAUUUGUGGAUUUUGAAACAUUUCUAACGUCAAGAGUGCGCACAAAUCCACAAAUAGUUGGACUCCGCCCACUGUCUACUCAAGCCAAUCGGAUAACCGUCACACUUUGAAACAUUUUGACACAUUUUGAAACAUUUCUAACGUCAAGAGUGCGUACAAAUCCACAAAUAGUUGGACUCCGCCCACCGUUUAUGCAUUUGGGGAUUUUGAAACAUUUCUAACGACAAGAGUGCGCACAAAUCCACAAAUAGUUGGACUCCGCCCACUGUCUACUCAAGCCAAUCAGAUAACCGUCACACUGCAGUGACCAACUGUAGCACGGUCUUUCUCCGACCAAUCACGUUUUGUUUUACAAUCAGGACGGGAACAUACUUGGAAAUGUUUUUAUUUAAUUUCUAACCUUGUUUUGGCUGUGUGCAAAUAUCAAAGUUAUAUGAGGAGGCAGUUUAACAACCGCAGGGGUAAAAAUUGUCAGUCUGCCUAAAGAUGUCUGAAAGCUUGUUAGCUAAGUUUGCUUUUGUCAUAUACUGACUUUGAUAAAGUUGUUGGAUUGAUGCAUGUUAUAGAGACAUACAUAAGUCUAAUCCAUUUACUUUAGAAACAGAUACUGGCCAGCAGAAUGUCCGCAAUGCUCCUGCGCUGUUACUUAACCACCACAUCACAUAGCCAGCAUGAACUACAGUAGCUCUUCUGUGGGAUCGGACCAGACGGGCUAGCUUUCACUACCCACAUGCAUCAACGAGCCUUGGCUGCCCGUGACCCUGUCGCCGGUUCACCGGUUCUCCUUCCUUGGACCACUUUUGGAAGCAGGUGAGGACAUUUUGCCCCAGGAGCCAUGCAAGACUACAACUAGACCAGAUGGGGGCAGUGGUACAUCUCAACUCCACUGAUCGUUCACCCAAAACCAUCCAAACACUCCAAGAUAACACACACUGCCCUACUGCUGUCAACAUUUCCUUUUCUUCCCCUUUCAAACAGUGUCUUUAAGAGCAACACUUGCUCCUGUCUUGGCUCAAAAGAUCAGUUAAGCUCACACUACUGCAGUGAUAUUAUAUUGAGUGAGUGCAUAUAGUGUACAUAGAAUGUGUUUACAAGCAAAAAGAAUAAUUGCAAGAGCAGGAAUAAAAAAUAAAAAAACCCUGUCGGGGUUCAGGAACUGUCAGGAUCAGAAUUCAUAGAUAACACUGACAGAGAAAAACUAAAGCAAAAGCAAACAAUUAAAAAACCCUUUACAGUUUAGAACAACUGUGUAUUAGAG
Ictalurus punctatus (channel catfish) is the source of this 1301-nucleotide long non-coding RNA. Lineage: Eukaryota; Metazoa; Chordata; Actinopteri; Siluriformes; Ictaluridae. The record is from Ensembl.